This 497-nucleotide ribosomal RNA is filed under the name uncultured bacterium. RNAcentral's name for it is "partial 16S ribosomal RNA". It matches the Rfam family "Bacterial small subunit ribosomal RNA", at positions 28 to 507 of the family's 1533-position model. The record is from RNAcentral.
GAUGAACGCUGGCGGCGUGCCUAAUACAUGCAAGUCGAGCGAACAGACGAGGAGCUUGCUCCUCUGACGUUAGCGGCGGACGGGUGAGUAACACGUGGAUAACCUACCUAUAAGACUGGGAUAACUUCGGGAAACCGGAGCUAAUACCGGAUAAUAUAUUGAACCGCAUGGUUCAAUAGUGAAAGACGGUUUUGCUGUCACUUAUAGAUGGAUCCGCGCCGCGUUAGCUAGUUGGUAAGGUAACGGCUUACCAAGGCAACGAUGCGUAGCCGACCUGAGAGGGUGAUCGGCCACACUGGAACUGAGACACGGUCCAGACUCCUACGGGAGGCAGCAGUAGGGAAUCUUUCGCAAUGGGCGAAAGCCUGACGGAGCAACGCCGCGUGAGUGAUGAAGGUCUUCGGAUCGUAAAACUCUGUUAUUAGGGAAGAACAAAUGUGUAAGUAACUAUGCACGUCUUGACGGUACCUAAUCAGAAAGCCACGGCUAACUACGUG